GAUGAACGCUAGCUACAGGCUUAACACAUGCAAGUCGAGGGGCAGCAUGAAAGUAGCUUGCUACUUUUGAUGGCGACCGGCGCACGGGUGCGUAACGCGUAUCCAACUUUCCCGUUACUCUCGGAUAGCCUUCCGAAAGGGAGAUUAAUACGAGAUGGUGUUCAAAUUCCGCAUGUUAUUGAACUAAAGAUUCAUCGGUAACGGAUAGGGAUGCGUGACAUUAGAUAGUUGGGGGGGUAACGGCCCACCAAGUCUACGAUGUCUAGGGGUUCUGAGAGGAAGGUCCCCCACACUGGAACUGAGACACGGUCCAGACUCCUACGGGAGGCAGCAGUGAGGAAUAUUGGUCAAAUGGGCGCAAGCCUGAACCAGCCAAGUUAGCGUGAAGGAAGACUGCCCUAUGGGUCUUAAAACUUCUUUUGUAAGGG
RNAcentral lists this ribosomal RNA (428 nucleotides) under uncultured bacterium. RNAcentral describes it as "bacterial SSU rRNA". It matches the Rfam family "Bacterial small subunit ribosomal RNA", at positions 28 to 444 of the family's 1533-position model. The record is from RNAcentral.